GUACGAAAAUGAGGUCUAUUCACUCAUUCAGAUCAAGAAGACAAGCCACCGCCAUUUCCAAUCUCAAACCAACAAGGAGAAGAAGGAUAAAGCUUCUUCACCUUCCAAAGCACACCUCCUCCUCCACCGCUGUCUCCGCCACCACCGCUGCCCGAACAACCCCGUCCGCCGCCAUGCACAGAAGGCUGAGAAAUCUUCAGAGGCUGGUCCCUGGCCACACCCAUGAAACCGACCUCAACCACUUGUUUCAAAGAACUGCAGAUUACAUCUUUGCUUUACAACUUAAGCUCAACAUCCUCAAAGAU
RNAcentral lists this unclassified non-coding RNA (305 nucleotides) under Hevea brasiliensis (rubber tree). Lineage: Eukaryota; Viridiplantae; Streptophyta; Magnoliopsida; Malpighiales; Euphorbiaceae. The record is from RNAcentral.